CAGCCGCCACGGUAAUACGAAGGGGGCUAGCGUUGUUCGGAUUUACUGGGCGUAAAGGGCGCGUAGGCGGACUGAUAAGUCAGGGGUGAAAUCCCAAGGCUCAACCUUGGAACUGCCUUUGAUACUGUUUGUCUUGAGUUCGAGAGAGGUAAGUGGAACUGCGAGUGUAGAGGUGAAAUUCGUAGAUAUUCGCAAGAACACCAGUGGCGAAGGCGGCUUACUGGCUCGAAACUGACGCUGAGGCGCGAAAGCGUGGGGAGCAAACAGGAUUAGAGACCCCUGUAGUCCCUGUCUCUUAUAC
This 301-nucleotide ribosomal RNA is filed under the name uncultured bacterium. RNAcentral describes it as "partial 16S ribosomal RNA". It matches the Rfam family "Bacterial small subunit ribosomal RNA", at positions 509 to 807 of the family's 1533-position model. The record is from RNAcentral.